RNAcentral lists this long non-coding RNA (1205 nucleotides) under Monodelphis domestica (gray short-tailed opossum). Its description in RNAcentral is "lncRNA (ENSMODG00000037226.1)". The record is from RNAcentral. Lineage: Eukaryota; Metazoa; Chordata; Mammalia; Didelphimorphia; Didelphidae.
CUCAGGAUUUUUAUUUUCAAUUUUAAAAGUAGUGUCUUAAUUAUCUAAGUUUAUUUUUGUAAUAAGCACAAAUCCAAACUAUUUCCCUAUACUUCUACUUUCUUUAAUGCAAUGAAAUUAUUUGACUCCUGGGCAAGACAAAAUAUUGUAACCUUCAAAAGUGCUGAGAAAAUAUUUUGAAAGUGUUUUGUAAGUAAUUUCUUAAAUCGACUAAUAUAAAUGUCAUCAUGAGUAUUGCAAUUUGUAAAAAAGAUAUCUCAUUGAGAGUUUAGGGUAGAUUUUUUUAGAUUUUUGUUGUAAUAUAUUAAGCCAUUGAAUUCAGAAGACUUAAAUUCAAAUUGUAAAUUUAAAUUCAUAGAACUCAUUUAAUUACAAUCAACAAGCAUUUAUUAAGUGCCUACUAUGUGCCAGGAAAAAAAAGAACCUGAGUCAGAGAGGAUAUAGGAUUGACAUCAGAAUCAGGAAGAACUAAAUUCACAUCUAAUACACAUCUAAUAAUAUAUGUAUAAUAAUACACAUAGACAUGUAUUAUUACACAUACAUUUAUAUUGAUUGUGACAUACUGGGAAAGUCACCAAAGCACUUGGUUCACUAGGAAUUUUCUAUGUUAAGUUACAAAGAAAGUAACAUCCUGCAUUUGUAGGAGUAGCUUAUAGCAAUGAAACUAUAGGUUCAAUAUUUAUUUUUAUGGUUACUUAACAGGUGCUAUAAAGUACCUCUCUGUCAUAAUAAAAACAGGACUGGGAUUUUGCAUUCAGGCUAUGAGAGAAAACUGGUCCCUUGUGAAAGGAAAUGAUCUCCUUUUCUUCAUAUAUGAGAAAAACUGCUGGUAGGAAUAUCGGCAGGAAGGGAGACCUACACAGAAGUUUUCUGGGAUAAUCUCUUGGGAGUUCAGAGUUUCAGGAAACAAAAAUCCAUUUUGACCAAUGCUCAUGAUAGGAUGAAUCAUAUGGCCAGCACUAGACUAGGGCUUGGAGAUAUAAAGGCAAAAGUGAACUAGCUCUGGCUCUCCAAAAAUUUACCUUCUAUCAAGAAGAUAAGCACAUAUACAAAGCUGCUAGUUUUCCUUCCUACUCCAAAGGGAACCAAAAUGACAUACCUUUGAUGUCUGUCUUGAGCAUAAUUUGAAUUAAAUUGAGGCAGAGUUACACAAAGUCAUCAUUGUCAUGCUCUCUUUCAGAGUCAUCAAAGUCCAUUGGCAUGAC